UCACCCAAUCCACUAGGACCAGACGAU
Molecule: small RNA, 27 nt
Filed under: Bombyx mori (domestic silkworm)
Lineage: Eukaryota; Metazoa; Arthropoda; Insecta; Lepidoptera; Bombycidae
Description: ovarian small RNA-25123
Source: RNAcentral